CUGAGGAAGAGAGGCGGCUCUCGGGUCGCUGCCGCCCGGUUUGGGACCGUGUGAGCCGCGUUUGUGCUGCGGGCUGGGUCUGUGUCCCCAAAAGGCCCUCGCAGGAAAAUGUUGCCGUAGAGCUGGUGCUGAAAAGUGAUCGGAAGACGUAUGAAAGUUCAAGAAACUUGCCCUACCCGAGUCCUUUAAGUAAAGGAGAAGAAAUCAAAGCAGUUUGUAGGCCAUUCUUGGAAAAGAGAUAUUGAAAAAAGAAUCCUACUUUC
Nothoprocta perdicaria is the source of this 263-nucleotide long non-coding RNA. RefSeq lists it as uncharacterized. The transcript is spliced from 3 exons. Lineage: Eukaryota; Metazoa; Chordata; Aves; Tinamiformes; Tinamidae. The record is from RefSeq and is a predicted model, not a curated record.